ACUUACAUGUGAGUGCCAUAGCGAUCUAUUCUUUCGCCUUUUACUAAAGAAUACCGUGUGCUCGUCACAUAAAGCAGCAUAUGCCAAUUUUUUUAGGGUUAAAAAAAAUGUGAGU
Molecule: small nuclear RNA, 115 nt
Organism: Dendrobium catenatum
Lineage: Eukaryota; Viridiplantae; Streptophyta; Magnoliopsida; Asparagales; Orchidaceae
Product: U5 spliceosomal RNA
Exons: 1
Source: RefSeq, a predicted model, not a curated record